GAUGAAGAACGUAGCGAAAUGCGAUAAGUAAUGUGAAUUGCAGAAUUCAGUGAAUCAUCGAUUCUUUGAACGCACCUUGCACCCUUUGGCAUUCUGAAGGGUAUGCUCGUUUGAGUGUCAUUGUACUCUCACACUCCCGAUCUUUGCAUUGGGAGCAGUGGACUUGGGUUUGCUGCUUCACCGUCGCUUACCUCAAAUAGGUUAGUGCAACUCUUGGUUGGACAUAGUACGGCGUGAUAAGUGUUCUUCGCCGGUGCCUCGCAAAGAGGGUGGCCGAUCGGGAUGUUGUGCUCCAAACCGUCUUCGGACAAUCUCUGACGACUUGACCUCAAAUCGAGUAAGACUACCCGCUGAACUUAAGCAUAUCAAUAAGCGGAGGA
This 380-nucleotide unclassified non-coding RNA is filed under the name soil metagenome. Its description in RNAcentral is "partial contains 5.8S ribosomal RNA, internal transcribed spacer 2, and large subunit ribosomal RNA". The stretch from base 1 to 120 matches the Rfam family "5.8S ribosomal RNA", at positions 35 to 154 of the family's 154-position model. The record is from RNAcentral.